CGCGGCUGCAACGGCCGAAAGGCUGCAGACGAGGAAAGUCCGGGCUUCACAGGGCAGGAUGCCGGAUAACGUCCGGUGGAGGUGACUCCAAGGCCAGUGCAACAGAAAUAAACCGCAUGAAGUUAAUCUUCAUGUAAGGGUGGAAAGGCAGUGUAAGAGACUACCGCCUCGCUGGUAACAGAGAGGGCACAUGUAAACCCCAUCCGAAGCAAGACCGGAACAAAGCAAUGUGGCGGCCCGUCACGCUUUAGGUAGGUCGCUUGAACCUGGCGGUGACGCCAGGUCUAGACAGAUGAUUGUCCAACGACAUAACCCGGCUUAUCGUUUUGCUU
Molecule: RNase P RNA, 332 nt
Filed under: uncultured Schaedlerella sp.
Lineage: Bacteria; Bacillati; Bacillota; Clostridia; Lachnospirales; Lachnospiraceae
Description: Bacterial RNase P class A
Rfam family: Bacterial RNase P class A
About the family: Ribonuclease P (RNase P) is a ubiquitous endoribonuclease, found in archaea, bacteria and eukarya as well as chloroplasts and mitochondria. Its best characterised activity is the generation of mature 5'-ends of tRNAs by cleaving the 5'-leader elements of precursor-tRNAs.
Source: RNAcentral